Long non-coding RNA from Mauremys reevesii (Reeves's turtle), 417 nucleotides. RefSeq lists it as uncharacterized. NCBI's taxonomy places the organism in Eukaryota, Metazoa, Chordata, Testudines, Geoemydidae. The transcript is spliced from 3 exons. The record is from RefSeq and is a predicted model, not a curated record.
GAGCGGAGCCGCUGUUCUCAGCUGCAGCAGGAUCUGCCCCCGGCCCCGCUGGGAUCCAGGCUGCAGAAUGAUGCCCACGUCUCGCUCCGGUUCAUCCCAUCCUCCUAUGGGACAGGGAAGGGAAAUGGCUGCAGAGGAGCCCGUUCAGGGUUUCCAGUUUCCAAACCGGAUGUGAUCUCGCAGCUGGAAUGAGGGGAACAGCCGUGGGUCUCAGACCUCUAUGGCUCUGAAAAAAAAGUGCUCCCGAGAGCUGUGUGCACAGGUGAGGAAUUGGGUGAACCAUCUCAACAACUGUCUGUGAAUACAGGAAACAUUUGGGAUGCCCUACAAAGACUCUGCAAGUUGUAAGUGCUCCAAGUUCAGAACUGUUCCCUGCAGAUGUGACCUCCAGACUCACAGCUCUGCUGGUGCUGCUCA